UUCCUGCCGCUGUGUGCGUCCGACGACCGGCUUGUCCCGGGCAAGCCGCUCCGCGCUGGGACCACCAUCGUCUCCGACGGUGGUGACUUCGCCUUGGGAUUCUUCACCACGUCCAAUUCUACGUCAUAUCUCGGCAUAUGGUACAACGGCAUCUCAGAGCUAACCGCGGUAUGGGUCGCGAACCGUGAAACCCUGGUCAACAACAAUACCUUCUCCCGGCCGACCCUCUCCCUCACCAACACCUCAAAUCUUGUUCUGUCCAAUGGCAAUGGCACCGGCCGUGUCAUUUGGACGACGAACAACAUUGCUACUGCGCCGGGCUCAUCUCCCUCGACAGCCGUGCUGUUGAACACCGGCAACCUCGUCCUCCGCUCACCAAAUGGCACCAUGUUGUGGCAGAGCUUCGACCACCCAACUGACACGUUCCUCCCCGGCAUGAAGAUCGGGCUCAGAUACAAAACGCGAACCGGGGAUCGCCUGGUGUCCUGGAAGGGCCCCAACGACCCCUCUCCAGGGCGUUUCUCCUACGGCGGUGACCCGGCUACGUUCCUCCAGAUAUUCAUCUGGGAUGGAGCACGACCUGUGUACCGCAACAUCCCAUGGACAGGGUUCCGGGUGAAGAGCGAACACAAGUACCAGCAGGCGGAUCCAAACGCUAGCGCCAUCAUCGCCUACAUGGCUGUCGUCAAUACCGACGAGGAGAUCUACGUGACCUACAGCCUCUCCCACGGUGCUGCACGUACCAGGUAUGUACUGACCUACUCCGGCGAGUACCGACUCGAGAGUUGGAGCAGCAGGUUGUUGAAGUGGACUGUCCUCGCCAAGUGGCCACCCACCGACUGCACCCGCUACGGCUACUGUGGCUCGUAUGGGUACUGCGACGCUACGGCGGCGCCCGUACCGACGUGUAAGUGCCUCGACGGCUUCGAGCCGACGAGCAGGGAGGAAUGGGACGGUGGCAGGUUCUCAAAGGGGUGCCGACGAACGGUGCCAUUACGCGGGUGCGGCGACGGCUUCAUCACCAUGCCAUUGAUGAAGUCGCCGGACAGGUUCACGUUUAUCAGCGGGAACGAGAGCACAUUGGAGGAGUGUGCAGCGGAGUGCGGCCGUAAUUGCUCCGGUGUGGCAUACGCGUUCGCCAACUUGGGCAGCGCUAGGUCAGGAGGAGACAUGACGAGGUGCUUGGUGUGGGCCGGGGAGUUGGUUGACGGUGGGAAGAUAGGUGAAGUGCCUGGUGGGAACACGCUCUACCUUCGCCUCGCAGGCCUGGAAGCACUACAUGGACCAGGUCACGAAAGGAGCAAUGCAGCAGUGAUUGCAUUAGGAACAAGUGUUGUUAUUCUACUCACGUGCAUUUUCGUGGUAUGGUUAAAGUUCAAAGGCAAGAAAACAAAGCUGAGAAAGGACAACAACAAGAUAACAUUUGAUGAUAUGAGUACCUCUUAUGAACUUGAGGACGGAAACCCUCCCCAUGAUCAUGAAUUAGCAUUUGUGAGACUUGAGGAAAUAGCCCAAGCAACAGACAAUUUCUCCGAAACAUGUUUGAUUGGACAGGGAGGCUUUGGAAAAGUUUAUAAGGGAUUCUUAGGUGGUAAGGAAAUUGCUGUAAAAAGGCUAAGUAUGGAUUCUCAACAAGGAACGGAAGAAUUCAGGAAUGAAGUAAUUCUUAUUGCCAGACUACAACAUAGAAACUUGAUUCGACUUCUUGGAUAUUAUGGCGAGGGAGCUGAAAAGUUGCUGAUUCAUGAGUAUCUACCCAAUGGGAGCUUAGACGCUAACCUUUUUGAUGAUUCAAGGAAAAUGUUGUUGGAUUGGGAAACACGGUUUAGUAUAAUCAAAGGGGUCGCAAGAGGAUUGCUUUACCUCCACCAAGAUUCAAGAAUGACCAUAAUCCAUAGAGAUCUCAAAGCUGCAAAUGUUUUACUAUAUGCAGAAAUGAAACCCAAGAUAGCGGAUUUCGGUAUGGCAAGGAUCUUUUGCGAUAACCAGCAAAAUGCAAAUACCCAACAUGUUGUCGGAACAUUUGGCUACAUGGCUCCUGAGUAUGCAAUGGAAGGCAUCUUUUCUGCCAAGUCCGAUGUCUACAGCUUCGGCGUAUUACUACUAGAGGUUGUAACUGGUAUAAGGCGAAGCUUCAAUAGUCAACCCAUGUUAAUCCUUAACCUCAUAGUCUAUUCAUGGAAUAUGUGGAAGGAAGGGAAGACAGAGGCACUGUCAGACUCAUCUAUCAUGGAUACUUGUUCACCUGAUGAAGUUUCGCUUUGCAUCCAUGUAGCCCUCUUGUGUGUACAAGAGAACCCAGAUGACGAUAGGCCAUUGAUGUCAUCCGUUGUGUUCGUUCUAGAGAACGGAAGCACCACACUUUCGAACCCAAACCAACCCACCAACUUUGUUGGACGCAAUAUUGAAAUGGAGCGCAUAAGAGAUGAUAUUCAGCACUCUAUGAACAGUUUUACUCUUACCGAGAUACAGGGACGGUGA
This 2481-nucleotide ribosomal RNA is filed under the name Triticum aestivum (bread wheat). RNAcentral's name for it is "partial small subunit ribosomal RNA". Lineage: Eukaryota; Viridiplantae; Streptophyta; Magnoliopsida; Poales; Poaceae. The record is from RNAcentral.